RNAcentral lists this ribosomal RNA (523 nucleotides) under uncultured bacterium. Its description in RNAcentral is "partial 16S ribosomal RNA". It matches the Rfam family "Bacterial small subunit ribosomal RNA", at positions 28 to 523 of the family's 1533-position model. The record is from RNAcentral.
GACGAACGCUGGCGGCGUGCCUAAUACAUGCAAGUCGAACGCUUUUUCUUUCACCGGAGCUUGCUCCACCGAAAGAAAAAGAGUGGCGAACGGGUGAGUAACACGUGGGUAACCUGCCCAUCAGAAGGGGAUAACACUUGGAAACAGGUGCUAAUACCGUAUAACACUAUUUUCCGCAUGGAAGAAAGUUGAAAGGCGCUUUUGCGUCACUGAUGGAUGGACCCGCGGUGCAUUAGCUAGUUGGUGAGGUAACGGUUCACCAAGGCAACGAUGCAUAGCCGACCUGAGAUGGUGAUCGGCCACACGGGGACUGAGACACGGCCCAGACUCCUACGGGAGGCAGCAGUAGGGAAUCUUCGGCAAUGGACGAAAGUCUGACCGAGCAACGCCGCGUGAGUGAAGAAGGUUUUCGGAUCGUAAAACUCUGUUGUUAGAGAAGAACAAGGAUGAGAGUAGAACGUUCAUCCCUUGACGGUAUCUAACCAGAAAGCCACGGCUAACUACGUGCCAGCAGCAGCCGCGG